Molecule: transfer RNA, 75 nt
Filed under: Bacillota bacterium
Lineage: Bacteria; Bacillati; Bacillota
Also listed under: 1 other name
Description: Firmicutes bacterium (compost metagenome) tRNA-Asn
Rfam family: tRNA
About the family: Transfer RNA (tRNA) molecules are approximately 80 nucleotides in length. Their secondary structure includes four short double-helical elements and three loops (D, anti-codon, and T loops).
Source: RNAcentral
UCCUCGGUAGCUCAAUGGUAGAGCGCUCGGCUGUUAACCGAGUGGUUGCUGGUUCGAGUCCAGCCCGAGGAGCCA